Molecule: ribosomal RNA, 461 nt
Filed under: uncultured bacterium
Lineage: Bacteria
Description: bacterial SSU rRNA
Rfam family: Bacterial small subunit ribosomal RNA
Source: RNAcentral
GAUGAACGCUGGCGGCGUGCUUAACACAUGCAAGUCGAACGAAGCGCUUGAAUGGAAUUCUUCGGAAGGAAGCUCAAGUGACUGAGUGGCGGACGGGUGAGUAACGCGUGGGUAACCUGCCUCAUACAGGGGGAUAACAGUUAGAAAUGACUGCUAAUACCGCAUAAGCACACGUGAUCGCAUGAUCGAGUGUGAAAAACUCCGGUGGUAUGAGAUGGACCCGCGUCUGAUUAGCUAGUUGGUGGGGUAACGGCCCACCAAGGCGACGAUCAGUAGCCGGCCUGAGAGGGUGAACGGCCACAUUGGGACUGAGACACGGCCCAAACUCCUACGGGAGGCAGCAGUGGGGAAUAUUGCACAAUGGGGGAAACCCUGAUGCAGCGACGCCGCGUGAAGGAUGAAGUAUUUCGGUAUGUAAACUUCUAUCAGCAGGGAAGAAAAUGACGGUACCUKAYUWWRGA